This is a non-coding RNA of Schistosoma mansoni, 45 nucleotides long. NCBI's taxonomy places the organism in Eukaryota, Metazoa, Platyhelminthes, Trematoda, Strigeidida, Schistosomatidae. The record is from Rfam.
AUCCAGCUGACGAGUCUUAAAUAGGACGAAACGCGCGUCCUGGAU